Molecule: unclassified non-coding RNA, 348 nt
Filed under: soil metagenome
Description: partial contains 5.8S ribosomal RNA, internal transcribed spacer 2, and large subunit ribosomal RNA
Rfam family: 5.8S ribosomal RNA (bases 1-120)
Source: RNAcentral
GAUGAAGAACGCAGCAAAAUGCGAUAAGUAAUGUGAAUUGCAGAAUUCAGUGAAUCAUCGAAUCUUUGAACGCACAUUGCGCCCGCUGGUAUUCCGGCGGGCAUGCCUGUUCGAGCGUCAUUUCAACCCUCAAGCCCCCGGGUUUGGUGUUGGGGAUCGGCUCUGCCCUUCUGGGCGGUGCCGCCCCCGAAAUACAUUGGCGGUCUCGCUGCAGCCUCCAUUGCGUAGUAGCUAACACCUCGCAACUGGAACGCGGCGCGGCCAUGCCGUAAAACCCCAACUUCUGAAUGUUGGCCUCGGAUCAGGUAGGAAUACCCGCUGAACUUAAGCAUAUCAAUAAGCGGAGGA